GAGCCCUGGCCAGGGGCUCAAUCAGUUGGAUGAACAGUGGGUGGGUUUGUGAUGGAGACUCAGGGCUGUGUGUUGGCACUGCCAGGCUGAGUCUCUGGGCUCAGGGCAUGGCUGUAGCUGAGAGUCUACACUGUCCUGGGUCCCCCAGACUCAAAACAUCACUGUGGCUGAGAGUCUGCACUGUCCCGGGUCCUCCCCGGGUCCCCCCGGGCUCAGGGCAUGGCCGUGGCUGAGAGUUUACACUGUCCCGGGUCCCCCAGAUGCAAAACAUCACUGUGGCUGAGAGUCUACACUGUCCCAGGUCCUCCCCGGGUCCCCCCGGGCUCAGGGCAUGGCUGUGGCUGAGAGUCUACACUGUCCCGGGUCCUCCCCUGGUCCCCCCGGGCUCAGGGCAUGGCCGUGGCUGAGAGUCUACACUGGGUCCUCCCCGACUUCCCCGCUGGGUCUGGUGAUCGGGGUUCUUCCUGUUCUGUGUGACUGGCAGCCUCUGGUCUGCGUCGGGCUCCCUGGGCUCUGCUGUCUGGGUCAGCUUCUGCUGUGAGAUGCUGUGGAAGGAAAGCCCACGUGGACGGCUCGUGACGGCCACCGUCUGUUCAUGCUCCAUGCAGCUGUAGUCACUUGGGCUCAGCUUGGGGUAAGGUCCGGCCUGACCCCUACCUCCUCCUCCUGGGCCAACCGCCCCUGGCUUGCUCUGCUCCUGGUGUGGGCAGAGCACAAGACGAAAGCCCUAUGCACCAGGGUCAUCCAGGAGCCAGAUGGAGACAGGAACAAGGCCCAGAAGGACGGCAGGGGCUCACACCACUUCCCCUGCACCCUGGCAGGCAGCCACACCGAGUCGGGGCAGGAAAAACAUGCUGGGCCGCCUCCUGGAAGGCUCUGCAGAGGAUCCUGUGGAGGAUUCUGAUGGGCGGAUCCUGGGGAAGGGGUUGGAAGCCCAGAUCCCACCCGCUGAACCUGCCUCUGGGGUCUCUGGACAGCUCCUGGCUGCCCAGACAUGACCUGUGCUGGCCAGGGCGGUGGCUUCAGUCUCCCCCAAGGCUCCACUUGGCGUGACCCUGACCACGUGGGCCGGGACGUGGGGCCUUCUGAUCACCUGGCGUGACCCUGACCAUGUGGGCCGGGACGUGGGGCCUUCUGAUCACCUGGCGUGACCCUGACCACAUGGGCUGGUACGUAGGGCCUUCUGAUCACCUGGCGUGACCCUGACCACGUGGGUCGGGACGUGGGGCCUUCUGAUCACCUGGCGUGACCCUGACCACGUGGGUCGGGACAUGGGGGCUUCUGAUCACCUGGCGUGACCCUGACCACGUGGGCCGGGACGUGGGGCCUUCUGAUCACCUGGUGUGACCCCUGACCACGUGGGCCGGGACGUGGGGCCUUCUGAUCACCUGGUGUGACCCUGACCACGUGGGCCGGGACGUGGGGCCUUCUGAUCACCUGGUGUGACCCUGACCACGUGGGUCGGGACGUGGGGGCUUCUGAUCACCUGGCGUGACCCUGACCACGUGGGCCGGGACGUGGGGCCUUCUGAUCACCUGGUGUGACCCCUGACCACGUGGGCCGGGACGUGGGGCCUUCUGAUCACCUGGUGUGACCCCUGACCACGUGGGUCGGGACGUGGGGCCUUCUGAUCACCUGGCGUGACCCUGACCACGUGGGCUGGGACGUGGGGCCUUCUGAUCACCUGGUGUGACCCCUGACCACGUGGGCCGGGACGUGGGGCCUUCUGAUCACCUGGUGUGACCCCUGACCACGUGGGUCGGGACGUGGGGGCUUCUGAUCACCUGGCGUGACCCUGACCACGUGGGCCGGGACGUGGGGCCUUCUGAUCACCUGGCGUGACCCUGACCACGUGGGCUGGGACGUGGGGCCUUCUGAUCACCUGGUGUGACCCCUGACCACGUGGGCCGGGACGUGGGGGCUUCUGAUCACUUGGCGUGACCCUGACCACGUGGGCCGGGACGUGGGGGCUUCUGAUCACCUGGUGUGACCCCUGACCACGUGGGCCGGGACAUAGGACCUUCUGAUGCCUUUUGGGCCCUUGGGUCCUUGAGUGGUUCUUCCAGGAGGGCCUCUGGGGGAGUCUGGAGUGUGCCCGCAUGUCAGGGGAGAGCUUUGCUGUCAUCUGGCGUGAAACACAGCAUCUGGGACAGAAUUCCAGGUUUUGCCUGGAAUGGGGGCCCUGGAGUCCCUGCGCAGUCACCCCUGCCGUCCUUCUGGGCCUUGUUCCUUUCUCCGUCUCACUCCUGGAUGACCCGUCAGCCUCCGCACUGUCACAUUUGUGGUUCGGGGGGUCACGGCGCUUUCUGCCUCUUGAAGCACCAGUCCCCCUCAGAGCCUCAGUUUCUCCACUAUGAAGCAGGGAUACCUGUGUCUCCCUUGACACAGCGCCUGACCUGGGGGCAUCCCUGGUGAGCCCUGCGUCCAGCCCCACCCUGCCUGCCGUGGGCCCUGCGAAGUGCUGGGCAGUGGACAUGGCCACUGUGUCACAGACAAGAUGAGGCCCAGGGACCUGAGCCAGUCGUGGCCCAUGCCCAUGCCCACAAUGCCAGCCCUCCCUGGCCCCACUGAGCAAGGGGCUCUUCUAUGCCUCAGGGAGGGGGCACCUGGCCACCAGUGGUCCCUGCAGACGACACAGCUGGAGUAGGACAGGCCACCCACAGCCUGCCCAGAAAUGUGGGACGGGAAUCUCAGGCCUCACACCCGCCCCAGGCAGGCAUGGCCCCUGGGCCCUCAGCCCUGUCCGACGCCCCGGGAAUGUAUGGUAACGUCCGAUCCGCGGCGGCCGCACUCCUCCGCAGGCUGAG
This 2807-nucleotide long non-coding RNA is filed under the name Homo sapiens (human). RNAcentral's name for it is "HSALNT0317819". Lineage: Eukaryota; Metazoa; Chordata; Mammalia; Primates; Hominidae. The record is from RNAcentral.